CGUUACAUAAUUUGAAAAAAAUCCAGCUGACAUCACCAACAAAGAUUGGGCAUCUCAAAAGUGAGGAAAGUACAACAUCUCAACCAUAGAAAAAAUAAACAGCAGUUGAUGAACAUUCAUAGCAAAUCACAGCAGAUCAUAGAUUGUCAUCAAUCUAAAGUAAAUAACUCACUCUGAAAGAGCAAAAUUCCACUGGUAUAUAGGAAACUAAGAUUGUAUUCAAGAAUGUAGAAGGGAAAGAAAAGACAGGGCAGACACAAGAACUAAGGUGCACAAGCAAUCCCAAGGAUGAAACAUAAAAUACCUUUCCAAGACAAAGGCAUAAGGCUACUCUUUGCAACUCUCCUCCAGAAAGAUUCUUAACGUCUUUGUCCAUCAACUGUUCAAUAAGUAGUGGCUUCAUCACUUCUGAUAUAAACAGGGGAUGAGUAUAUACAUUACGGAUUUUUUGAUGUAGCAAGUGUCUAACAGCUAAUCGGGAUUUUGGGCUAAUUUUCUGAGGUUUGUAUGAUACGUUGAACUUGGGCAUCUCCACAUCAGAUCCACCUUCUAUAGUAUCGGGUUUCAACAAACCAGCCUGAAUAAAAGAAGAGGGUGAAUAAAUAUAUGAAGAAUUAUGCAGUUUGAUAAAGAAAUAAUAAGACUAAAAGAAUACCAGCAUACGAAUGAAUGUUGUCUUUCCUGUCCCAUUCUCACCCAGCAUCACAAUAAUCUGUGAAUCUGUAAAUUCUCCUUCAACUGCAUGAAGCCUGAAAUUGCCUUGAGUUUUAGUCAUGGUUGGGUAUUUGAAUCGAGCAUAAGUUUGAGCUUCCUCGGCAGUUUUCUGUGGAGUCUCUGCAACCUGGAUAAAAGAUUAGAGCAAGGUUAAUUCGAUAAAGUUUAUUUGUUAUUUCUACCCUUAGUUUUUGGUGGGUUAGCAACCUGUAGGAUUUCUCUGACCCUUUCACGGUUCCCCUGUGUUCUUCUAUUCAUAAACGACUUCUUUUACUUCAAAACAUAUUCAAAUCAUCAAUAAUUAUAUUUUCAAGUUCUACUUCUACAUCCAUCGUUGAUGUUCCAAACGAAGCAGGAUAAUACAUAAUCAAGAUUCCCACAAUUCCCUCAAAUCGUUCCACAGCUUCCUUUUUACUUUCAUUUUUUAAUAAUGAGAAACAAGCUGCGAGAAGAGGGUUAUAGAGCUUUGAUGGGUUAAAGGGUUCUUUGAGGGAGAAAUCAAGGAACUUGGCAGAUUUCGUUGCUCCUCAAGGUUGUGUCAUACUACCAUAGAAGAUGCUCAUGAGAUCUGAAACUUUCUAGAAACAUACAAUUCAUGAACUCACCCAACAAAUUGUUUAACAAAUGAUUAGAAAUCCAUAAAAAGGGUUGAUUUAACAAGUAUUCAGACAUAGUGAAAGAUGCAAUCAAUGGUCAUGUUCCAUGGAAGCAGUCAUGUAGAUGACGUGAACGAAGAAGUAAAGCACAACCUCAUUACUCCAAAAAAAAAUUACUUUUUUUUUAAUUUUCAAGUAUAUAUAGCAUUUUUUAAUAUAUAUUUAGUUCAAUGAUAUAUACCUUAUCAUGCGGGUAUCAAGUGUCGGACAAACAAAUGAUAUGAUAAAAUAAUGUUAUCGUAUUUAUUAUCAUGUUUUCACCAAACAAAGGAUAGAGUAAUGUUUAUCUUGUAACUAUCCUAUCUUUUUUUUUUUUGGUCAAGUACCCUAGUGGCUAGAAUUCAAUUAAUAUUUUGUUUGAAGUAAAAUGUAUUACAUUAAAGAGAUAUAAAUAGAUCAAUCACAACAAAUCCAAGUUUAAAAAAAAAAAAUCAACACAGGUUGAGCUUUUAACUUAUUUCCGUUACAUAAUUUGAAAAAAAUCCAGCUGACAUCACCAACAAAGAUUGGGCAUCUCAAAAGUGAGGAAAGUACAACAUCUCAACCAUAGAAAAAAUAAACAGCAGUUGAUGAACAUUCAUAGCAAAUCACAGCAGAUCAUAGAUUGUCAUCAAUCUAAAGUAAAUAACUCACUCUGAAAGAGCAAAAUUCCACUGGUAUAUAGGAAACUAAGAUUGUAUUCAAGAAUGUAGAAGGGAAAGAAAAGACAGGGCAGACACAAGAACUAAGGUGCACAAGCAAUCCCAAGGAUGAAACAUAAAAUACCUUUCCAAGACAAAGGCAUAAGGCUACUCUUUGCAACUCUCCUCCAGAAAGAUUCUUAACGUCUUUGUCCAUCAACUGUUCAAUAAGUAGUGGCUUCAUCACUUCUGAUAUAAACAGGGGAUGAGUAUAUACAUUACGGAUUUUUUGAUGUAGCAAGUGUCUAACAGCUAAUCGGGAUUUUGGGCUAAUUUUCUGAGGUUUGUAUGAUACGUUGAACUUGGGCAUCUCCACAUCAGAUCCACCUUCUAUAGUAUCGGGUUUCAACAAACCAGCC
This 2409-nucleotide long non-coding RNA is filed under the name Medicago truncatula (barrel medic). Its description in RNAcentral is "long non-coding RNA (MTRU_LNC008765)". Lineage: Eukaryota; Viridiplantae; Streptophyta; Magnoliopsida; Fabales; Fabaceae. The record is from RNAcentral.